GGGCUAAGAUUAGAAGAAGAGAGGUAUUUAAAUCUCUCUUCAGACAAACCUUAACCCUAGCUGACACACUUCGCCGGAGAAGAAGAAGAAGGGCAGCUGGAGGAGAAGUCCAGCCACCGGAGGACGUCGGCGCCACCAUGCCGGAGACCCAAAACUCACUGGUGAACACGAUUUUUCCUCUUGUUCUUCCUAUCUUAUCACCCUAGAUCAUUUAAACUAACUCUAAUGCAGGAAAAGCCAAGGAAGACCGCGACCCACAAGAAAUAGGUGGCGGAGCACGGUUGCGCCGCCGCACUAGAGAUUGAAAAUCGCCUAGUAAA
Molecule: long non-coding RNA, 320 nt
Filed under: Carica papaya (papaya)
Lineage: Eukaryota; Viridiplantae; Streptophyta; Magnoliopsida; Brassicales; Caricaceae
Description: long non-coding RNA (CPAP_LNC006741)
Source: RNAcentral